AGUGAACGCUGGCGGCGUGCCUAAUACAUGCAAGUCGAACGGAGAUUAAGUAGCUUGCUAUUUAAUCUUAGUGGCGCACGGGUGAGUAAUAUAUAGCUAACUUGCCCAUUACUAAGGGACAACAGUUGGAAACGACUGCUAAUACCUUAUACUCCGUAUCUAUAUAAGUAGAUACGGGAAAGUUUUUCGGUAAUGGAUAGGGCUAUAUCGUAUCAGCUAGUUGGUAAGGUAAUGGCUUACCAAGGCUAUGACGCGUAACUGGUCUGAGAGGAUGAUCAGUCACACGGGAACUGAGACACGGUCCAGACUCCUACGGGAGGCAGCAGUAGGGAAUAUUGCUCAAUGGGGGAAACCCUGAAGCAGCAACGCCGCGUGGAGGAUGACACUUUUCGGAGCGUAAACUCCUUUUCUUGGGAAAGAAUUAUGACGGUACCCAAGGAAUAAGCACCGGCUAACUCCGUG
RNAcentral lists this ribosomal RNA (462 nucleotides) under uncultured bacterium. RNAcentral describes it as "partial 16S ribosomal RNA". It matches the Rfam family "Bacterial small subunit ribosomal RNA", at positions 29 to 507 of the family's 1533-position model. The record is from RNAcentral.